AUGCAUGUCGAACGGUAACAGGUUAAGCUGACGAGUGGCGAACGGGUGAGUAAUAUAUCGGAACGUGCCCAGUAGUGGGGGAUAGCCCGGCGAAAGCCGGAUUAAUACCGCAUACGACUACGGGUGAAAGGGGGGGAUCGCAAGACCUCUCGCUAUUGGAGCGGCCGAUAUCAGAUUAGCUAGUUGGUGGGGUAGAAGCUCACCAAGGCGACGAUCUGUAGCUGGUCUGAGAGGACGACCAGCCACACUGGGACUGAGACACGGCCAGACUCCUACGGGAGGCAGCAGUGGGGAAUUUUGGACAAUGGACGCAAGUCUGAUCCAGCCAUGCCGGUGCGGGAAAGAAGGCCUUACGGGUUGUAAACCGGUUUGGUCAGGGAAGAAAAGCUCCGAACUAAUAUUAGGAGUAGAUGACGGUACCUGAAGAAUAAGCACAGGCUAAAUACGUGCAGAAGCCGGGUAAUACCGUAGGGUGCAAGCGUAAAUCGGAAUUAUGGGCGUAAAGCGUGAGCAGGAGGAUUCAUAUAAGACAGAAUGUG
RNAcentral lists this ribosomal RNA (539 nucleotides) under uncultured bacterium. Its description in RNAcentral is "bacterial SSU rRNA". It matches the Rfam family "Bacterial small subunit ribosomal RNA", at positions 55 to 603 of the family's 1533-position model. The record is from RNAcentral.